This 461-nucleotide ribosomal RNA is filed under the name Cenocoelius analis. RNAcentral describes it as "partial 16S ribosomal RNA". The record is from RNAcentral. Lineage: Eukaryota; Metazoa; Arthropoda; Insecta; Hymenoptera; Braconidae.
CUGCUCAAUGAAUUUUUUAAAUAGCUGCAGUAUAAAUAACUGUACAAAGGUAGCAUAAUAAAUAGGUUUUUAAUUGAAAUCUAGAAUGAAAGAAUAAAUGAAAUAUAAGCUGUUUCUAUAAUAAAUAUAAAACUUAUUUUUUAAGUAAAAAAACUUAAAUAAUAAAAAAAGACGAGAAGACCCUAUAGAAUUUUAUAAUAAUUAUAAUUUUUAAAUUUAUUUUUAAAUAAAUCAAUUAUUUAUUUUUUUGGGGCAAAAUUUAAAUUUUAAACUUUAAUUUUAUUUUAAUCAAAAAUAAUUGUUUAAAAAAUCCUAAAAUUUAGAUUAAAAAAAUUAAUUACCUUAGGGAUAACAGCAUAAUUUUUUUAUAAAGUUCUUAUAUAAAAAAAAGUUUAUGACCUCGAUGUUGAAUUAAGAUAUAAUUUUAACGAAAAAAUUAAAAAAUUUAAGUCUGUUCGACU